Non-coding RNA from Biomphalaria pfeifferi, 1231 nucleotides. The record is from the annotation of a GenBank genome assembly. NCBI's taxonomy places the organism in Eukaryota, Metazoa, Mollusca, Gastropoda, Planorbidae.
GAAAAAAAGGAUAAUUUUUUUUUUUAUUAAUUAGUUCAUGACCGAAAAACAUACACAUACAUUUCAUCUGUAAAAUAUUUAUAGAAUAUAGGUAAAAUUAAAUUUUGAUCGGCAUAGAAUUUUUAAUUGUUAAUUAUUAUUGUAUGCAAUUCAUUCCAUUCAAAGCUAUAAUGCUAUUCUUUUUAUAGAACAACACAAACUAGGAAGUAUCAUUGAUUAAAGGAUUCUUGUUUGUUGCUGAUUUUGAGCAUAAUACUUCUUACUGGUUUUUUUUUUCUCCAGAGCAUUACAUUAUCCCAAGUUGUACAACUGUCACUUGAUCAUAUGAGUCAUUUCUUCACUUUUCUGCUAAAGUUAAUUACAAGAAUUUUUUUACCAAUUCAUUUUUUUUUUUUUUUUUUUUACAAAUUAGUAAUAUAACGGGCCAGUUAUUGAAUUUAAAUUAGAUCUUGCUUUUGCUUUGUGCAUUGCUGAUAAGUUAACUUGAACAGCGUGUUCCUUUGUUGUAUGCUGGCAAUGUCCCUGGCUAAUAAAUGAGCAAUGUAUGUGGGCAAUAACUUGCGAUGGUAAAAUCCUGAUCUAAAAUUAGAUGCUUUACUUCACAAUGAAAUUGUACAUUACAUCAUUUCAGUAUAUUUUAUUUUCUCUUGUCUUAUCCUAGUAGUGCUUGAUACUAAAUUAUUUUGAUGAAACUGUGGAGGUCUGAAAGAAUUGCAUAAAUUUGUAACUCUGCUUAUCCAUUGCCUCUUUUUCAGAUUGAUUCCUCUUGAUAAGGAAAGAGUCUCCUGUUCUCUGAUUAGAUCAUCCCAGCACUGCCUUGUGUACAUACUUCCUCAGUUCUUUGCUUUUCAACUCGAUCAUUCUGUCAUGGUCCUCAUUUCUUUUCAGCUCAUAAGUUCAAAUCAAGGUUGAUGGAAUGGGUUUUGUAUUAGCUGCAUAUUAUUUAUUACAUGUAUGUGAAAUGUAUAUGACACUUGUACUUUGCAUGUACAUAGAUCUGAAGAAUUGAAACAUAAAUAUUUUACACUGUUUUCCUAUAUUUCAUUCAUUUUGUGUGUGGUGGUUGCUUCACAUUUCAGUUAAAUCUCAAACCUGGUUGAACGUUUUACAGCAUUAGCUUUGGAUAGUGUUGUUUUGACAUUGUGUUAGAAAUAUACAUAACUCUCAUGUAAUGUAAGAUCCCAGAUUUGGCCCCUGUUUUGUUUUAGAAUCCUCUUGGGGGGGGGGGGGG